UACGGGGGGGGCAAGCGUUGUUCGGAAUUACUGGGCGUAAAGGGCGCAUAGGCGGCCUGCUAAGUCGGAUGCGAAAUCCCUCGGCUCAACCGAGGAACUGCAUCCGAUACUGGCGGGCUUGAAUCCGGGAGAGGGAUGUGGAAUUCCAGGUGUAGCGGUGAAAUGCGUAGAUAUCUGGAGGAACACCGGUGGCGAAGGCGGCAUCCUGGACCGGUAUUGACGCUGAGGCGCGAAAGCUAGGGGAGCAAACGGG
This 253-nucleotide ribosomal RNA is filed under the name uncultured bacterium. RNAcentral's name for it is "partial 16S ribosomal RNA". It matches the Rfam family "Bacterial small subunit ribosomal RNA", at positions 524 to 776 of the family's 1533-position model. The record is from RNAcentral.